GUGAAUCAUCGAAUCUUUGAACGCAUAUUGCGCUCUCUGGUAUUCCGGAGAGUAUGCCUGUUUGAGGGUAAUUAAAAACAAUCUUUAACCAAUUGUGUUGGUCAAAGGAAAUGAGCGCUCCGCGUUUAUAGCGGUAGCGUGGAAUAAAUGGUCAAGUCUCAUUUUAGUCGAGUCGCGUACUAAUAUUCUUUCUCGAAAUCUUCAUUAU
RNAcentral lists this unclassified non-coding RNA (208 nucleotides) under Ambisporaceae sp. RNAcentral's name for it is "partial contains 5.8S ribosomal RNA and internal transcribed spacer 2". The stretch from base 1 to 71 matches the Rfam family "5.8S ribosomal RNA", at positions 84 to 154 of the family's 154-position model. Lineage: Eukaryota; Fungi; Glomeromycota; Glomeromycetes; Archaeosporales; Ambisporaceae. The record is from RNAcentral.